Molecule: ribosomal RNA, 167 nt
Filed under: Entrophospora claroidea
Lineage: Eukaryota; Fungi; Glomeromycota; Glomeromycetes; Entrophosporales; Entrophosporaceae
Source: RNAcentral
CAGUCGUGCUGGCGCGAAAUCAACCCUCUCGUCGGGAGAUCACAGUGUUGUGACGAGCCUCAAAACCGCCACAGCGUGUCGACCUCACGAUGAGGGGGAGCACUUUCGGUCCGCUGGUUAACAUCAAUUUCGAACGUCAAUAAAAAGGCUAGGAGGGAUGGUGCUCC